CUAUGUCAGAUGAAAAUGAGCGAUUUACUGUUGCACCUGAGACGUCGCGACAUUUAGAAGAUACUUCAUUAUUUUAUCGACAAGAAUUUCUAACGAGUUGACCAUUUUAACUGAGGUGGUAAUUUAUGUUGUUUUCAGUAUUUACACUGAUGAAGACGUCGAGAAUGAUGCAAGUUUAGCAAUAGAGGCAACUGUUGCAGCGAUAUGUGCCACACGUGAUGGUAGCAUAGAAAUUAAUGAUUACUCAGGAUCUUCAUUGGUCAGAACCAUGGGUGAUGGUUGUAUGAAUCCAUCAGAGGAAUAUCCAUCAGGCAAAGAAAUGACUUCAGAGGAAUUAAAACAGGCGAUUGUAUCGAUGAUGUUAAGAAAAGAUGAAGUUGAAGAACGUAACAGGUUGUAUUAUCGUCCUUCGUUUAAUAUUAACAUUCCAUUCGAAUAUACACUAUUUUGCCCUGAUUUUUCCUUCGGUCAUCUUUCCUGUAGAUCGUUACAACAACAUUUGGAAAA
Long non-coding RNA from Xenia sp. Carnegie-2017, 507 nucleotides. RefSeq lists it as uncharacterized. The transcript has 3 exons. The record is from RefSeq and is a predicted model, not a curated record. Lineage: Eukaryota; Metazoa; Cnidaria; Anthozoa; Malacalcyonacea; Xeniidae.